UACGAAGGGUGCAAACGUUGCUCGGAAUUAUUGGGCGUAAAGCGCACGUAGGCGGCUUAGCAAGUCGGAUGUGAAAUCCCUCGGCUCAACCAAGGAAGUGCAUCCGAAACUGCUGAGCUUGAGUACGAAGGAGGAUCGCGGAAUUCCCGGUGUAGAGGUGAAAUUCGUAGAUAUCGGGAGGAACACCAGUGGCGAAGGCGGCGAUCUGGGUCGAUACUGACGCUGAGGUGCGAAAGCGUGGGGAGCAAACAGG
Molecule: ribosomal RNA, 253 nt
Filed under: uncultured bacterium
Lineage: Bacteria
Description: partial 16S ribosomal RNA
Rfam family: Bacterial small subunit ribosomal RNA
Source: RNAcentral